GCCCUCUUAGCUCAGUGGUAGAGCGCAUCACUCGUAGUCACGUGACCACAUGACGAUCCCAAUGAUGAGGUCGGUUGUUCAAUCCAGCCAGGGGGCA
Transfer RNA from Moniliophthora roreri MCA 2997, 97 nucleotides. It matches the Rfam family "tRNA". Rfam says of the family: Transfer RNA (tRNA) molecules are approximately 80 nucleotides in length. The record is from Rfam. Lineage: Eukaryota; Fungi; Basidiomycota; Agaricomycetes; Agaricales; Marasmiaceae.